Molecule: long non-coding RNA, 769 nt
Organism: Nicotiana tabacum (common tobacco)
Lineage: Eukaryota; Viridiplantae; Streptophyta; Magnoliopsida; Solanales; Solanaceae
Source: RefSeq, a predicted model, not a curated record
GCGGAGCCUCUUGACCUGUAACAAAUUUCCACUAUUGCUUUCUUCCACCUUUCUUCUCUAAUUAAUGGCAAUGGAGUCAAUAGAGACUUAUAAACUUCCACCUAGGGUCCCGCCAUAGAUUCGUCAAAUCCCCAAAGUGUUGGAGGUGUACACUUAGUAAAUCAUACACAUAGUUGUUUAAUCUGCCUCUAUAAAUAGCGUUUCUGAUCACUUGCAUUAAGUAGGGAAACACAAAAACGAAACUUGAAACGCAAUAGUGUUGUUUAGUCUCCCACCUUUAACUUAUUACAUAACAAGUUCUCGACAUGGCUUCAUUCCAUAGCUUGAAGACUUUGGCCAUUGUUGCUAUUGCAAUUUCCUCCUUUGUGCAAGUCACCCUAGGUUCAGACAGACAGACAGGUAGAUCUCCACAUUAGGUGUUGCCCGAGUUCAGCUUGAUCGGUAAGCUUCAUGCCCUUCGGAGUUGCCGGGUCUAGAGCUUUAUGGAAAUCUUGUGUAUAUAUGUAUAUACGUUAUAAGUAGGUUGGGGUCCUGUUCCGAUCACAAUAUAUCCAUCAGUAGAGACUUGUAGACAUAUCCUGUCAGUUAGUGCAGUAUGUUGGGCUUGUAGGCCUUGUAUGUAUAUUUUGAUUGGUUUGCCAGCAGUAGUAGUUAUGACGGGCUUGUCGGCCCAGCUUUAUAUUGAUGUUUAGUCAGCUUUUGCAAAUUGUCUUAUAAUUUGGCCCAUGGCUAAAGUAUGACAUUAAUGUUCAGAGUCCCUUAGUCGCAA